UACGGAGGGUGCAAGCGUUGUUCGGAUUUACUGGGCGUAAAGCGUGCGCAGGCGGUUCGUUGUGUCUGCUGUGAAAUCCCCGGGCUCAACCUGGGAAUGGCAGUGGAAACUGGCGAGCUUGAGGGUGGCAGAGGGGGGUGGAAUUCCGCGUGUAGCAGUGAAAUGCGUAGAGAUGCGGAGGAACACCGAUGGCGAAGGCAACCCCCUGGGCUGACACUGACGCUCAGGCACGAAAGCGUGGGGAGCAAACAGG
RNAcentral lists this ribosomal RNA (253 nucleotides) under uncultured bacterium. RNAcentral's name for it is "partial 16S ribosomal RNA". It matches the Rfam family "Bacterial small subunit ribosomal RNA", at positions 524 to 776 of the family's 1533-position model. The record is from RNAcentral.